Non-coding RNA from Callithrix jacchus (white-tufted-ear marmoset), 762 nucleotides. Lineage: Eukaryota; Metazoa; Chordata; Mammalia; Primates; Cebidae. The record is from RefSeq and is a predicted model, not a curated record.
CCAUGUGGACCAGGCUGGUCUCCAACUCCUGACCUCAGGUGACCCACCUGCCUCAGCCUCCCAGAGUGCUGGGGUUACAGGCAUGAGCCACCACACCCAGCAGUUUCAAAUUCUUUACCUAGGCCUUGCCCUCAGUAUUUUUUUCUCUUCCCCUUAUAGGCCUGGUUGGUUUACACAACGUUGGACAGACCUGCUGCCUUAACUCUUUAAUUCAGGUUUGUAAUGAACGUGGACUUCACCAGGAUAUUGAAGAGGACCAUGGUUCCCAAGGGAGCUGACAAGCAGAGGAGAAGUGUCCCUUUCCAGCUGCUUCUUCUGCAGGUGAAGAUGGAGGACCACUGGCAGAAUGCAGUGCAGCCCCUGGAGCUGGCCUACUUCCUGCAGAAGUACAGCAUGCUGAUAAUAAGCGGUCAGAGAUUUCCUUAAAUGCCUGAAUCGGUGAGUCUUCCAAUAUUUGUGAAGGGGCUCUGUGUGUUUGUUAGGGCACAAUUUCAAAGUGCACACAGUUUAUAAUUCUGUGUUCACUGUCAUUGCUUUCUUGUACAUGGCCUUGUGAUCAGCCAGAGGGGAAGAAUUCAGCCCUCUUAGAUCUUGGGCAUGUGCGUGGCCUUCUAGAUCCUCAGGAAUACAUCAGUGCUGUUCAAAGUCCCCUGUGAACAUCUCAUUCCCCAGGCCGAGUGCAGUGGUGUAAGCACAGCUCACUGUAGCCUCAACAGCCUGGGCUCAAGUGAUCCUCCUGCCUCUGCCUCAGCCUCCCAAGUA